This 253-nucleotide ribosomal RNA is filed under the name uncultured bacterium. Its description in RNAcentral is "partial 16S ribosomal RNA". It matches the Rfam family "Bacterial small subunit ribosomal RNA", at positions 524 to 776 of the family's 1533-position model. The record is from RNAcentral.
UACAGAGGUGGCAAGCGUUGUUCGGAAUUACUGGGCGUAAAGGGCGCGUAGGCGGUUCGUUAAGUCCUGUGUGAAAUCCCCCGGCUCAACCGUGGAACUGCUGGGUAUACUGGCGGUCUUGAGCCACUUAGGGGCAGUCGGAACAGACGGUGGAGCGGUGAAAUGCGUAGAUAUCGUCUGGAACGCCAAAGGUGAAAACAGACUGCUGGGAGUGUGCUGACGCUGAGACACGAAAGCCAGGGGAGCAAACGGG